Molecule: unclassified non-coding RNA, 339 nt
Filed under: soil metagenome
Description: partial contains 5.8S ribosomal RNA, internal transcribed spacer 2, and large subunit ribosomal RNA
Rfam family: 5.8S ribosomal RNA (bases 1-120)
Source: RNAcentral
GAUGAAGAACGCAGCGAAAUGCGAUAAGUAAUGUGAAUUGCAGAAUUCAGUGAAUCAUCGAAUCUUUGAACGCACAUUGCGCCCGCCAGUAUUCUGGCGGGCAUACCUGUCCGAGCGUCAUUUCAACCAUCAAGCCCCCGGGCUUGUGUUGGGGACCUGCGGCUGCCCGCAGGCCCUGAAAACCAGUGGCGGGCUCGCUGUCACACCGAGCGUAGUAGCAAUCACCUCGCUCAGGGCGUGCUGCGGGUUCCGGCCGUUAAACAGCCUUACAAAACCCAAGGUUGACCUCGGAUCAGGUAGGAAGACCCGCUGAACUUAAGCAUAUCAAUAAGCGGAGGA